Molecule: long non-coding RNA, 206 nt
Organism: Nerophis lumbriciformis (worm pipefish)
Lineage: Eukaryota; Metazoa; Chordata; Actinopteri; Syngnathiformes; Syngnathidae
Source: RefSeq, a predicted model, not a curated record
GUCGAGACUCACCAUGUUUGAACACACCCACGACAAUCUUGACUGUGUGUCCCUUUGGCGAGGAAAACCAACAAUAAAAAGAUAAAUGGAGAGUUUUGUCAUCACCAUUUUGCAGCUGACGGACGUGCUUGUAGAAAGAUUUAAAGCUCAACGGGCAGCUUUGUCAUCAACACUUUGCAGCUGACAGACGUAGAAAGAUUAAAAAG